AUUGAACGCUGGCGGCAUGCCUUACACAUGCAAGUCGAACGGUAACGGGUCCUUCGGGAUGCCGACGAGUGGCGAACGGGUGAGUAAUAUAUCGGAACGUGCCCAGUAGUGGGGGAUAACUGCUCGAAAGAGCAGCUAAUACCGCAUACGACCUGAGGGUGAAAGGGGGGGAUCGCAAGACCUCUCGCUAUUGGAGCGGCCGAUAUCAGAUUAGCUAGUUGGUGGGGUAAAGGCCUACCAAGGCAACGAUCUGUAGUUGGGCUGAGAGGACGACCAGCCACACUGGGACGCAGACACGGCCCAGACUCCGACGGGAGGCAGCAGUGGGUAAUGUUGGCCAAUGGGCUCAAGCCUGAUCCAGCAAUGCCGCGUGCAGGAUGAAGGCCUUCGGGUUGUAAACUGCUUUUGUACGGAACGAAAAGGCUCUGGUUAAUACCUGGGGCACAUGACGGUACCAUAAGAAUAAGCACCGGCUAACUACGUGCCAGCAGCCGCGGUAA
This 500-nucleotide ribosomal RNA is filed under the name uncultured bacterium. RNAcentral's name for it is "partial 16S ribosomal RNA". It matches the Rfam family "Bacterial small subunit ribosomal RNA", at positions 30 to 523 of the family's 1533-position model. The record is from RNAcentral.